Epinephelus fuscoguttatus (brown-marbled grouper) is the source of this 150-nucleotide long non-coding RNA. RefSeq lists it as uncharacterized. NCBI's taxonomy places the organism in Eukaryota, Metazoa, Chordata, Actinopteri, Perciformes, Serranidae. The transcript has 3 exons. The record is from RefSeq and is a predicted model, not a curated record.
ACAGUUCAGGUGGUGCUGACACAGUUCAGGUGGUGUAGACACAGUUCAGGUGGUGUAGACACAGUUCAGGUGGUGCUGACACAGUUCAGGUGGUGCUGACACAGUUCAGGUGGUGUAGACACAGUUCAGGUGGUGCUGACACAGUUCAGG